UUCUGGAUCGCGUUAGGAACUGGAUAAAGA
This 30-nucleotide non-coding RNA is filed under the name Mus musculus (house mouse). The record is from RNAcentral. Lineage: Eukaryota; Metazoa; Chordata; Mammalia; Rodentia; Muridae.